AGUUUAUAUACUGAGCAUGAUGUUCUAUGGUAUGGAAUCUCCCUUUGUCUAGUUUUGAUAGCUGUCCUGGCUAUGUUCCCUCCCAGGUUCUUGUACACCUGCUAGUUGGCAAAGGAUGGGAAACUGAAAAAUCCUUAACUUAAGACAAGCGCUACUAAGCAAUAACUUAA
This is a long non-coding RNA of Aquila chrysaetos chrysaetos, 170 nucleotides long. RefSeq lists it as uncharacterized. Lineage: Eukaryota; Metazoa; Chordata; Aves; Accipitriformes; Accipitridae. The record is from RefSeq and is a predicted model, not a curated record. The transcript is spliced from 5 exons.